This 468-nucleotide ribosomal RNA is filed under the name uncultured bacterium. RNAcentral's name for it is "partial 16S ribosomal RNA". It matches the Rfam family "Bacterial small subunit ribosomal RNA", at positions 28 to 507 of the family's 1533-position model. The record is from RNAcentral.
GACGAACGCUGGCGGCGUGCUUAACACAUGCAAGUCGAACGGAAAGGCCCUGCUUUUGUGGGGUGCUCGAGUGGCGAACGGGUGAGUAACACGUGAGUAACCUGCCCUUGACUUUUGGAUAACUUCAGGAAACUGGGGCUAAUACCGGAUAGGAGCUCCUGCUGCAUGGUGGGGGUUGGAAAGUUUCGGCGGUUGGGGAUGGACUCGCGGGUUAUCAGCUUGUUGGUGGGGUAGUGGCUUACCAAGGCUUUGACGGGUAGCCCGCCUGGGAGGGGGACCGGCGCCAUGGGGACUGAGAGAGGGAGCAGACGCCUACGGGAGGCAGCAGGGGGGAAUAUUGCACAAUGGGCGGAAGCCUGAUGCAGCAACGCCGCGUGCGGGAUGACGGCUUUCGGGUUGUAAACCGCUUUGGCCUGUGACGAAGCGUGAGUGACGGUAAUGGGUAAAGAAGCACCGGCUAACUACGUG